RNAcentral lists this ribosomal RNA (503 nucleotides) under uncultured bacterium. Its description in RNAcentral is "bacterial SSU rRNA". It matches the Rfam family "Bacterial small subunit ribosomal RNA", at positions 29 to 524 of the family's 1533-position model. The record is from RNAcentral.
AACGAACGCUGGCGGCGCGCCCAAUACACGCAAGUCGAGCGAGAAGGUGUAGCAAUACACUUGUAAAGCGGCGAACGGGUGAGGAAUGCAUGGGUAACCUACCCUCGAGUGGGGAAUAACUAGCCGAAAGGUUAGCUAAUACCGCAUACGUUUCCGGAACUUCGGUUUCGGAAAGAAAGCAAUACCGUGGGUAUUGCGCUCCUGGAUGGGCUCAUGUCCUAUCAGCUUGUUGGUGAGGUAACGGCUCACCAAGGCUUCGACGGGUAGCUGGUCUGAGAGGACGAUCAGCCACACUGGCACUGCGACACGGGCCAGACUCCUACGGGAGGCAGCAGUAAGGAAUAUUGCGCAAUGGACGAAAAGUCUGACGCAGCGACGCCGCGUGGGGGAUGAAGGUCUUCGGAUUGUAAACCCCUUUCGGGAGGGAAGAUGGAGUGGGUAACCACUUGGACGGUACCUCCAGAAGCAGCCACGGCUAACUUCGUGCCAGCAGCCGCGGUAAU